This 230-nucleotide ribosomal RNA is filed under the name uncultured microorganism. RNAcentral's name for it is "partial 16S ribosomal RNA". It matches the Rfam family "Bacterial small subunit ribosomal RNA", at positions 524 to 753 of the family's 1533-position model. The record is from RNAcentral.
UACGGAGGGGGCUAGCGUUGUUCGGAAUUACUGGGCGUAAAGCGCGUGCAGGCUGUUCAAUAAGUUGGGCGUGAAAGCUCCCGGCUCAACCGAGGAAGUGCAUCUGAUACUGCUUAGCUUGAGUCCUGGAGAGGGGUGUGGAAUUCCCGGUGUAGAGGUGAAAUUCGUAGAUAUCGGGAGGAACACCAGUGGCGAAGGCGACACCCUGGACGGAGACUGACGCUGAGACA